CGGCUCCUCGCACACGCAUGCGUCAAUCGGCAGCUUGUAAUGACACGAUUUCCAUCCACCUUUCUUGAAAUGAUCGUUGCCAAAAGGAGAAAAUAUUAAUAAAAUCGGGAGAAAAAUCCUCCUCAGCCGGACAGAACAAUGCAACCCCACAGAUUUUUUCUUUGACAAGCGCUGAUGGGAUGGCUGCAAAAAGAAAGAGAUCUCCUCACAUCCCCGAUCAGUCGGCAGCACUCUGAUGUUCAUCUGCAGCCGUGAGAACUACCUGUGUGUCCACUGAGUCUGGGGCCUGAAGUUCAAGUUGCGGUGCAAAGCUCCCAUGAGUCAGACUUUUGCAUCCUGAAAUAUGAUGCAGAGAAAACCUCAGGUGGACAAACAGCUGCUGGUGACGCCCGAGCUGAGCUGUAGGUACUGAGAUCAAAAAACAGCGACAGCGCAAAAAGUUCCAUUAUGAGAAAGAGACAGUUACAGAAUGUGAAAGCGAUUGAACCCAGGCCGACUGACGGAGAGAAAAAAAAAACCCACAAUUCUACAAAUCUGUAUCAGUGAAUGAUUAAUUAAAUUUUGUUGAAUGAUCUAUUCUAGCCUUGUGAGAUAUCAGUCUUCAUUUCUUUUUGCACUUUUACAGAAGAUCUCAAGAGACGGCUAGUUCAAAAGACGGUUCAAUUUAGAGUUCCCACUGGAAAUGGUUUCAGAAAGUCUCUGCUAUACGUUGGGCUUUGAUGUGUCUUAAAUGUCGUAAUGUUACUGUUCGGAGAUG
Long non-coding RNA from Platichthys flesus (European flounder), 757 nucleotides. RefSeq lists it as uncharacterized. The transcript has 3 exons. Lineage: Eukaryota; Metazoa; Chordata; Actinopteri; Pleuronectiformes; Pleuronectidae. The record is from RefSeq and is a predicted model, not a curated record.